RNAcentral lists this ribosomal RNA (372 nucleotides) under uncultured organism. Its description in RNAcentral is "partial 16S ribosomal RNA". It matches the Rfam family "Bacterial small subunit ribosomal RNA", at positions 527 to 896 of the family's 1533-position model. The record is from RNAcentral.
GUAGGUGGCAAGCGUUGUCCGGAAUUAUUGGGCGUAAAGCGCGCGCAGGCGGUCCUUUAAGUCUGAUGUGAAAGCCCACGGGCUCAACCGUGGAGGGUCAUUGGAAACUGAGGGACUUGAGUACAGAAGAGGAAAGCGGAAUUCCACGUGUAGCGGUGAAAUGCGUAGAGAUGUGGAGGAACACCAGUGGCGAAGGCGGCUUUCUGGUCUGUAACUGACGCUGAGGCGCGAAAGCGUGGGGAGCAAACAGGAUUAGAUACCCUGGUAGUCCACGCCGUAAACGAUGAGUGCUAAGUGUUAGGGGGUUUCCGCCCCUUAGUGCUGCAGCUAACGCAUUAAGCACUCCGCCUGGGGAGUACGACCGCAAGGUUG